This 788-nucleotide long non-coding RNA is filed under the name Elaeis guineensis (African oil palm). RNAcentral describes it as "long non-coding RNA (EGUI_LNC031399)". Lineage: Eukaryota; Viridiplantae; Streptophyta; Magnoliopsida; Arecales; Arecaceae. The record is from RNAcentral.
AAAUUAAGAUAUUAAUUUCUAUUUCAAGAAAUAAAUGAUUAUGAUUUAGAUCAACUCUUGAGGUAUUGAUCUUUCCCUUAUGAAAAAUUUGAUGAUGAAAUUACAUUGAGAAUUAGAAUAUCAAAAAGUUCAAGGAUGAGAUUAGGACCAUGAAUCUCAACUUUUUGAAAGUAAAAAAAAAUUAUUAGUCUUGAAAUUGAUUUUGAUGAUGUCAAAAAAGUUUUAGUAUAAAUUAUGGUUACUAAUGAUGUUUGUAAGAGUGAUUGUAGGAUUUCUCAUAAUGCUAAAAGAUUAAUUUCAUUCAAGAGGAAGUUCUCUCAUAAUCUAAGUAAUUUUAUGUUCUCAAAUUUAAAGUUUCAAAGUUUUGAAAGUAAAGAAAUUGAGUUUGGCAUAAAAAAAAAUUGAUAAAGAAAAGUCUAGCCUAGAAAGGCUUCUCAACAUGUCUAUCUUUUCAAAAAUUAAUUUUAAAAAGGUAAGUCUAGUCUAGAAUAUUUUUAAACAAAGAAAGUUAUCCAAAAUUAGAGAAAAUUACUUUUGACAUGCCUGGCAUGCCUUUGAGAUGACCAAAAAAAAUUUAGCAGACUCAAUCUUAGUUUAAGGGAAAAGAUACAAAGAUAUGAAAUUCAAAUAUUUUUUCUUAAUUAAUCAAGUUUUCAUAUGAGUUGAUCAAGAUAGGAUCAUAGCCAACUCACCUAUAUAGAUAGUCGACUCAGCCUUAAACCCAAGAUGAAGACAAAAAGAUUGAAGAUUUCAGAGAUCUCCGAGCCGACCAUGAAAACAAUCAACCA